GUAGGUGGCAAGCGUUGUCCGGAAUUAUUGGGCGUAAAGCGCGCGCAGGCGGUCCUUUAAGUCUGAUGUGAAAGCCCACGGCUCAACCGUGGAGGGUCAUUGGAAACUGGGGGACUUGAGUACAGAAGAGGAAAGCGGAAUUCCAAGUGUAGCGGUGAAAUGCGUAGAGAUUUGGAGGAACACCAGUGGCGAAGGCGGCUUUCUGGUCUGUAACUGACGCUGAGGCGCGAAAGCGUGGGGAGCAAGCAGGGAUUAGAUACCCUGGUAGUCCACGCCGUAAACGAUGAGUGCUAAGUGUUAGGGGGGUUUCCGCCCCCUUAGUGCUGCAGCUAACGCAUUAAGCACUCCGCCUGGGGAGUACGGCCGCAAGGCUG
Molecule: ribosomal RNA, 374 nt
Filed under: uncultured organism
Description: partial 16S ribosomal RNA
Rfam family: Bacterial small subunit ribosomal RNA
Source: RNAcentral